GGGAGAGCGUUCCUCCCAUGAGGCAAACACUGUUGGUCUUACUUGAGGCGUGAGCCCUUUGAGCUAUUCGUUCAACCAAUAUUUAUGAAGUGCCUCGUAGGUGCCAGGAACUAUGCCACAUGUUAUGGAGACAACGUCAUAAUUAUCACUGUCAUCAUUGGCAUCUUUGGUCAGCAACAAACAGCAGAGUCGAGAGAUGGCCUGGGGGGAGGGGCGCUACAGCUACACUCACGGUUAUACCAACUCCCUCCAGGCUGUCCAAAUAAAUAUUUAUACGAGCUACGCUAGAAUGCUAACAUGCUUGCUAAAUCAGCAUGAUUUCAAGCAUCCUGCAGCAUAGGGGAAAAAAAGCAGUGAUUGAACCAUCCCUGCCCUCACUGAGCUUACACUCUAGAAGGGAAGGCAAACGAGGAACCAAGAGCAGGAAAGCAUCAAACCUUUCCCAGGCUGAAAUAUGGAAAAUCUGCAGGGAGCAUCUCAGCAGGAGAGGAAUUUCAUUAGAACGAGCACAUCAUAAUCCAGCGACUUCUGCUCUCCCCCUAAGCCUCCCUAUUGAUAAGGCGUCCGAGGCGAUUUUUAUGGAUUUGCAAAGAGAAAUGAUUUCAUAAGAUCCUUUCAGAGAGGUUGCUUUGGUCCGGGCCUUUGAAUUAUUUUCUGCUCGCUGAUGAAAAAAUUUUCAGACAUUUGGCUUAACUGUGACUGCUGGCUAGGAGGCUGGCCUGGAGGAGAGGCGCGCAGCCUCAGCCACAGACAACGCUUUCUGCAGUCACAGAGGAUCUGACUGGACGGUUUCCCGGGUCUCUGAGGAGUGACACACUGUUACUACCUGCGCUUUGAAUGACCUGUUGGAAGAAGGCAAGAAGCAGGCUUCUAAAGGAAUUAGAUCGACAACCACACAAUCUGCCAACUUUCAAAGGUGUCAAUCCAGUUCAGAAAAAGCUCAGCUGCCCUCGUCGGGGUCCGGGGAGGGAACCGGAGGCCACUGAGGGAAGCAAUGGAUUGAUGGGUUUUUAAAGUACACUUCUGUCCUCAGCCUCCUCCCCCAACUCAACUUCUGCAUUCUCUUGUUAAAUAUUUUAUGGGGAAGAAAAGAAAGCCUCAAUUUCCCCACCUGUGAAAUGAUGACAAUGAUAGCACUACAGAAGUGACGGAAGGUGCUGUGCAUAUUAAAGGAG
RNAcentral lists this long non-coding RNA (1175 nucleotides) under Equus caballus (horse). RNAcentral's name for it is "lncRNA (ENSECAG00000050528.1)". The record is from RNAcentral. Lineage: Eukaryota; Metazoa; Chordata; Mammalia; Perissodactyla; Equidae.